This is a long non-coding RNA of Gallus gallus (chicken), 194 nucleotides long. RefSeq lists it as uncharacterized. The record is from RefSeq and is a predicted model, not a curated record. Lineage: Eukaryota; Metazoa; Chordata; Aves; Galliformes; Phasianidae. The transcript is spliced from 3 exons.
CAGCCCUGGGUCUGCUCGGUGCUCUGGCUCGCUCUGAUGAGCCCGUGAUGGCAAAGAAGCUGCCCCAGGUUGUGGAGGCUGUGCAGUGUCUGUGCAGCGACCCCAGGACCCAGGUGAGGAGGGCCAUUCUGCUCUUCAUCAAGGAUGUGCUCAGUGCUAACGCCCGGAGCUGCUCAGCCUGGGAUGUGGUGGGG